AUUGAACGCUGGCGGCAUGCCUUACACAUGCAAGUCGAACGGCAGCGGGGACUUCGGUCCGCCGGCGAGUGGCGAACGGGUGAGUAAUGUAUCGGAACGUACCAUUCAGUGGGGGAUAACUAUCCGAAAGGAUAGCUAAUACCGCAUAUUCUGUGAGCAGGAAAGCAGAGGAUCGCAAGACCUUGCGCUGAUUGAGCGGCCGAUAUCAGAUUAGCGAGUCGGUGAGGUACCGGCUCACCAAGGCUACGAUCUGUAGCGGGUCUGAGAGGAUGGAGCGCCACACUGGGACUGAGAGACGGCCCAGAGUCCUACGGGAGGCAGCAGUGGGGAAUUUUGGACAAUGGGCGCAAGCCUGAUCCAGCCAUGCCGCGUGAGUGAAGAAGGCCUUCGGGUUGUAAAGCUCUUUCGGCCGGGAAGAAAUCGCAUCAGCUAAUACCUGGUGUGGAUGACGGUACCGGAAUAAGAAGCACCGGCUAACUACGUGCCAGCCGCCGCGGUAA
This 500-nucleotide ribosomal RNA is filed under the name uncultured bacterium. Its description in RNAcentral is "partial 16S ribosomal RNA". It matches the Rfam family "Bacterial small subunit ribosomal RNA", at positions 30 to 523 of the family's 1533-position model. The record is from RNAcentral.